UACAGAGGGUGCAAGCGUUGUUCGGAAUUAUUGGGCGUAAAGCGCGUGUAGGCGGCUUUGCAAGUCGGGUGUGAAAGCCCUCGGCUCAACCGAGGAAGUGCGCCCGAAACUGCAGAGCUUGAGUACCGGAGAGGAUGGCGGAAUUCCCCAAGUAGAGGUGAAAUUCGUAGAUAUGGGGAGGAACACCGGUGGCGAAGGCGGCCAUCUGGACGGAUACUGACGCUGAGACGCGAAAGCGUGGGUAGCAAACGGG
RNAcentral lists this ribosomal RNA (253 nucleotides) under uncultured bacterium. Its description in RNAcentral is "partial 16S ribosomal RNA". It matches the Rfam family "Bacterial small subunit ribosomal RNA", at positions 524 to 776 of the family's 1533-position model. The record is from RNAcentral.